UACGAAGGGGGCUAGCGUUGCUCGGAAUCACUGGGCGUAAAGGGUGCGUAGGCGGGUUUUUAAGUCAGGGGUGAAAUCCUGGAGCUCAACUCCAGAACUGCCUUUGAUACUGAGGAUCUUGAGUUCGGGAGAGGUGAGUGGAACUGCGAGUGUAGAGGUGAAAUUCGUAGAUAUUCGCAAGAACACCAGUGGCGAAGGCGGCUCACUGGCCCGAUACUGACGCUGAGGCACGAAAGCGUGGGGAUCAAACAGG
Molecule: ribosomal RNA, 253 nt
Filed under: uncultured bacterium
Lineage: Bacteria
Description: partial 16S ribosomal RNA
Rfam family: Bacterial small subunit ribosomal RNA
Source: RNAcentral